UACAGAGACCUCAAGCAUUAUCCGGAUUUACUGGGCGUAAAGGGUCCGCAGGUGGUUUUGUGCGUCGAUGGUUAAAUUUUAGGGCUCAACCCUGAAACCGCCGUCGAUACGGCAAAACUAGAGGUUGGAAGAGGCGAGCGGAAUUACCGGUGUAGUAGUAAUAUGCGUUGAUAUCGGUAAGAACGCCAAAUGCGUAGGCAGCUCGCUGGAACACACCUGACACUCAGGGACGAAAGCGUGGGGAGCGAAAGGG
This 253-nucleotide ribosomal RNA is filed under the name uncultured bacterium. RNAcentral describes it as "partial 16S ribosomal RNA". It matches the Rfam family "Bacterial small subunit ribosomal RNA", at positions 524 to 776 of the family's 1533-position model. The record is from RNAcentral.